GUAUGGUACGAGUGCUGCCGCGGUUUGCGAAGAAACUCGGAGAUGGAGACGGGUGCCAUGGGUUUUGUCGGUUCCUGCUUAUGAACGCGUCGAGCUGAGCUUGGACGCUGUAGUAAAGUUAUGGAGGAGCGUUCAAGCGGUCUGCGGGGAAAACUGGUGAUCGGCAGGUGCAUCGCCUACGGCUCGUCUGGGCUUGUCUAUGAAAGCGUCGACUUGAGUUUCGACGCUUCGAUCACGCGCCGUGAACCGUUGUCAAGUGCACUCGUCUUGCAAGCUGCAUACGACUAGGCAUGUUUACACAUUUUAUACCGCAAUCGCUGUACUGGCGUCCCGAAACACUCACUUGCAGAUGUUUCUCUUGGAAAACGAGCUCGAAAACUCCUCGUGAGCUCGAUGAGCGAUAAAGCUCGGCUGCGGGCUCCGUUCAAAGGCUGCCACGGUCCAGCUCGGUGCAGUGGUCGCGGUGCUGCCUGUCCUUAGGGCGCUCAAACCGUUCCGAGCGGCUAAAGAGCCGGCUCGCUGAAAAAGCAUCAGGUAGUGUCACUGUAUUCGCGACUCGGUGGCUGAGUUCUUGUGCGAUGUGUCGAGCGAGAGAAUCGGAGAACGUCUGCCGGUUUCGUCCGUCAGGGAGGUUUUGGUUACCGGGGCAGGUCGCUGCAGUGCCGACUGCUGAAACGCGGCCUUUGCAUGCCCAUAACAAAGUCCAAACUUUCUGUGAGCCAGUACGCAUCUUUGUCCUUCUACGCAUCGGCGAUUGAUUCGGAUAUUGUCGUUUACUGAAACGGUUCAAUGCCAGCAGCUAUUCGGAUUUCAUCCUGGACAGCACCGAAACUCGACCUGCAUCACAUGCUCUGAGACUUUCAGAGCGUGCGCUCGAUGCGGAGCAUGAACCUGUGGAGCCGCUCCACCGCUGUCGAGUGCGGCAGCAUGCGCGCGUUCAUGAUGCACCCGGCUUUUUUGCCCCGUGACGAGCUCUUUUUUUAGAUGGGCUAUGAGGCGCCACCGUGGACAAGUCGCAGCAUACCACGCCUCGGGAGACGCAUCGUCAACUGCUUGCUCCGGAGAGCGGCUCAUCGUGACCGUCCUGCAAUCGCACGGUUCCGGUAUUCAUGAGCCAACGUACGCGACUUGACGUGAUGUAGGGCGCUUGACCCUAACCAGGCAAUUCUGGAGACGCGAACGCUACGAGCAAUCAGGGAAGAGACCAUCACGACUCAACGAAAGAUUUCACGUUCCGCGAAGCGUAGGAUCAUAUCCUAACGCCGCGAUGGCUGGCGCUCUCAAGGACAUCGUUUGCUCGCAUGCCUCCUUGCCAUUACGGACAGGCGGACUGGAAGCCUAUCGGUUUUGUCUGCAAAAUCGUUUAGAAUUCGGGUUUCGUGCUGAGCUGAACAAGGCUACACGCUUGGAUGGUCUAUGCGAUAUCCUGAAACGACUUGUGCAGUCAUCAUCCCGUAGAGUUCAAGUAAACAUCGGCACCGCCACGUGAUAAACCGCCGCACU
RNA transcript from Cyanidioschyzon merolae strain 10D, 1503 nucleotides. RefSeq lists it as hypothetical. The record is from RefSeq and is a predicted model, not a curated record. The transcript has a single exon. NCBI's taxonomy places the organism in Eukaryota, Rhodophyta, Bangiophyceae, Cyanidiales, Cyanidiaceae.